UGGAUUAUAAUAAAGUUUAAAAAUAGAUUUUAUUCUAACAUAUGUAUAUUGAGAUGAAUAUUUCAAAAUAUAAUUUUAACAGUUACUCAAAAUGUAACAUCUUACAUUUCCAAUCUGGAUUACAUUCAUCUUUGAUCGUCUUUGAUUAAUAGUUAAUUCAUUGAUUAAGAUAGUUCAUGCAUUCCUAGAUGCAAUCCUUAGUUGGGUAGCUGGAAAUUCCGUAAACGGAUGAACGCAUCAAAGGCAUGAGGUAGACGACAUUACCUAUAUUUCCUCCAUGACACAGAUACAUACAAAGGAUGGGAGUUAAACGCAUGACCACAUAUAGCAGAGCAGUGCAACUGCAACGAGCAAGUGGCAACCCGCUGGUUUAAAUGAAUGGAACUUUUACGAGCGGCCAAUAUUCGAACUUAAAAAAGGGGAAUGUAAAGAAAGGUGGGAUUUGAAAAAAGGGGUACUGGGGAUAUCUUCUACGUAGUACGAGUAGAUAUAUAUAGGGUGGAACGUCUCAGUUUUUUCUAAAACGAUCAUUC
Vespa mandarinia (Asian giant hornet) is the source of this 533-nucleotide long non-coding RNA. Lineage: Eukaryota; Metazoa; Arthropoda; Insecta; Hymenoptera; Vespidae. The record is from RefSeq and is a predicted model, not a curated record.